GAUGAACGCUGGCGGCGUGCCUAAUACAUGCAAGUCGAGCGAACAGACGAGGAGCUUGCUCCUCUGACGUUAGCGGCGGACGGGUGAGUAACACGUGGAUAACCUACCUAUAAGACUGGGAUAACUUCGGGAAACCGGAGCUAAUACCGGAUAAUAUAUUGAACCGCAUGGUUCAAUAGUGAAAGACGGUUUUGCUGUCACUUAUAGAUGGAUCCGCGCCGCAUUAGCUAGUUGGUAAGGUAACGGCUUACCAAGGCAACGAUGCGUAGCCGACCUGAGAGGGUGAUAGGCCACACGGGAACUGAGACACGGUCCAGACUCCUACGGGAGGCAGCAGUAGGGAAUCUUCCGCAAUGGGCGAAAGCUUGACGGAGCAACGCCGCGUGAGUGAUGAAGGUCUUCGGAUCGUAAAACUCUGUUAUUAGGGAAGAACAAAUGUGUAAGUAACUAUGCACGUCUUGACGGUACCUAAUCAGAAAGCCACGGCUAACUACGUG
RNAcentral lists this ribosomal RNA (497 nucleotides) under uncultured bacterium. RNAcentral describes it as "partial 16S ribosomal RNA". It matches the Rfam family "Bacterial small subunit ribosomal RNA", at positions 28 to 507 of the family's 1533-position model. The record is from RNAcentral.